CUACGGGCGGCUGCAGUGGGGAAUAUUGCACAAUGGGCGCAAGCCUGAUGCAGCCAUGCCGCGUGUGUGAAGAAGGCCUUCGGGUUGUAAAGCACUUUCAGCGGGGAGGAAGGCGUUAAGGUUAAUAACCUUGGCGAUUGACGUUACCCGCAGAAGAAGCACCGGCUAACUUCGUGCCAGCAGCCGCGGUAAUACGGAGGGUGCAAGCGUUAAUCGGAAUUACUGGGCGUAAAGCGCACGCAGGCGGUCUGUCAAGUCGGAUGUGAAAUCCCCGGGCUCAACCUGGGAACUGCAUUCGAAACUGGCAGGCUAGAGUCUUGUAGAGGGGGGUAGAAUUCCAGGUGUAGCGGGGAAAUGCGUAGAGAUCUGGAGGAAUACCGGUGGCGAAGGCGGCCCCCUGGACAAAGACUGACGCUCAGGUGCGAAAGCGUGGGGAGCAAACAGGAUUAGAUACCCGAGUAGUC
This 464-nucleotide ribosomal RNA is filed under the name uncultured Klebsiella sp. RNAcentral's name for it is "bacterial SSU rRNA". It matches the Rfam family "Bacterial small subunit ribosomal RNA", at positions 339 to 795 of the family's 1533-position model. Lineage: Bacteria; Pseudomonadati; Pseudomonadota; Gammaproteobacteria; Enterobacterales; Enterobacteriaceae. The record is from RNAcentral.